GGUGAACGCUGGCGGCGUGCCUAAGACAUGCAAGUCGAGCGGGCCGCGGGGUUUUACUCCGUGGUCAGCGGCGGACGGGUGAGUAACGCGUGGGUGACCUACCCGGAAGAGGGGGACAACCCGGGGAAACUCGGGCUAAUCCCCCAUGUGGACCCGCCCCUUGGGGUGUGUCCAAAGGGCUUUGCCCGCUUCCGGAUGGGCCCGCGUCCCAUCAGCUAGUUGGUGGGGUAAUGGCCCACCAAGGCGACGACGGGUAGCCGGCCUGAGAGGGUGGCCGGCCACAGGGGCACUGAGACACGGGCCCCACUCCUACGGGAGGAAGCAGUUAGGAAUCUUCCGCAAUGGGCGCAAGCCUGACGGAGCGACGCCGCUUGGAGGAAGAAGCCCUUCGGGGUGUAAACUCCUGAACCCGGGACGAAACCCCCGACGAGGGGACUGACGGUACCGGGGUAAUAGCGCCGGCCAACUCCGUG
Molecule: ribosomal RNA, 473 nt
Filed under: uncultured bacterium
Lineage: Bacteria
Description: partial 16S ribosomal RNA
Rfam family: Bacterial small subunit ribosomal RNA
Source: RNAcentral